CCCAAGUGGAGUUCCUGAUUCAUAGGCUGGCAGUAGAGCCAUGGUGCUUCUCCUCUAAAGGGAAUUCCAGUGUGUUAUUUUUAAUGUUUUCAACCAGAAUCUAUCAAACUGAGCUGUAUUGGUCUGUAUUUUACAUGAACUUUGUGAAUUUUUCUCUCUGUUUUUAUUCUUCCUGCUAGAGGGAAGACAAGGGAGACACUCCCAGGAAGAAAAAGGAAUAAGACAAAAUAAUUUCAGCUUUCAGCAAGCACAGGCUCCAAUAAACUGAAAGCAUCAGAAGAUUCAUUCCAAACUGAGAGGAAAAAUACACUGCUGCUACCACUGCCGGCCAUGACUGAUGCACAACGUGCACCAACUUUGACCCAAAUGAGACAAUGACCCGAAAGAGACCCAGAACUGAGACGGACGACCUAGACCUGCCUGACGUGGAUAACUCUGCCAGAAACGAGGAUCCUUUGUUUGCCAGCACAGGAAAGUGGAGGAAAACCACAAGGAGGAAUCCCAGGGCAUCAACAUCGGUAUGCAGGAGAGCUGGUGGGAGUAUUCCUGCAACCCUCACAUGCUGUGUGAUUCACUUCAGAAACAUCCUCUCAGAUGAGUGACCAUCUCUGACUGUAGGCAGCUGCAGAUAAAAGAAGCGUAUUUAUAAAAAGGAGCAGGUUUAUAAAAAGAAAUUGUGGUUUACUUAAAAAUAACUUGUGGGUGUGACUGCAACCUGGGCCUAAAGUUUUAUAUCAUGCAAACAAAAUUGUUGCUUUUAUGGGUUAAAAAAUUAGAUUUUACUGGCUCUUUAUACAAAUUUGGCUGUUUACUGAUGGCUCAGGCUAUAGGGUCUAGGAUGUUUGGGCAGGGGAGCAAGGGCUGAGUGUCAGGCUGCACACUAUUAUGAGUGUUAGGCCACACUGUGCACAGUGUAUUAGCUGCCUUCUAAUUACUUGCUUUUUCCCAAUAAUUUUCCUGCUUCCAGCACUCACUGUGCUCCCAGCCAUUGAGCAAGGAAACCUGCUGUUGGAUUUCUCCGUGCUUGGGAAAAGUUUAUUGGUACAAAGCACUGUGAGCUGCCAGGGAUCAGCAGGGGAUGAGAAGAAUCCUCUUCCAGUGGUUUCUCUGCCACAUGAAGACAAGACAAGAAGACCUGAAGUUAGAACAAGUUUUCUGCUGAACAAAGCCAAGUGAUAUGACCAAGAGCUGGCCUGACCUCAUACACGGAAUAAGACAGAAUUUACAGUGACCCAGACUGGAACCAAGUGCCUUGAUUGGUCUCCAGGAUGUAAAUAGUUUCAAGUUCUCCGUUCCAUUGAAAUGUUACAAAGAGUUUUGUUUUGGUUUUAUUUAUUGUUCAAUGCAAAGCACCUGCAUUGUUUUGUUUUAAAUACAGUUGUAAGUUCUUUUGGUUACUUUUGGAAAGCGUGUGGUUUUUGAAGGUAAUGCUUUUCUAGCUUGCAAAAGAAGGGAUGAGGUGUGAUACCUGCCUAUGAAAUGACCUAGUGCAAUGAAUUGUUGGAAUGGGCCCAUGUCAUGAUGCUCUAUAAAUGUCUCUAUUAUGAAUAACUAAC
This is a long non-coding RNA of Junco hyemalis (dark-eyed junco), 1556 nucleotides long. Lineage: Eukaryota; Metazoa; Chordata; Aves; Passeriformes; Passerellidae. The record is from Ensembl.